This 251-nucleotide ribosomal RNA is filed under the name uncultured bacterium. RNAcentral's name for it is "partial 16S ribosomal RNA". It matches the Rfam family "Bacterial small subunit ribosomal RNA", at positions 525 to 775 of the family's 1533-position model. The record is from RNAcentral.
ACGUAGGGUGCGAGCGUUAAUCGGAAUUACUGGGCGUAAAGCGUGCGCAGGCGGUUAUGUAAGUCAGGGGUGAAAUCCCACGGCCCACCCGUGGAACUGCCCUUGAUACUGCUUUGCUUGAGUGAGUGAGAGGAUAGCGGAAUUCCCGGUGUAGGAGUGAAAUCCGUAGAGAUCGGGAGGAACAUCAGUGGCGAAGGCGGCUAUCUGGCACUAAACUGACGCUGAGGUGCGAAAGCGUGGGUAUCAAACAG